Molecule: microRNA, 19 nt
Filed under: Rattus norvegicus (Norway rat)
Lineage: Eukaryota; Metazoa; Chordata; Mammalia; Rodentia; Muridae
Description: rno-miR-3585-3p
Source: miRBase by way of RNAcentral
UGAACGGCCCUUGUUGUGA